This 459-nucleotide ribosomal RNA is filed under the name uncultured bacterium. RNAcentral describes it as "partial 16S ribosomal RNA". It matches the Rfam family "Bacterial small subunit ribosomal RNA", at positions 338 to 795 of the family's 1533-position model. The record is from RNAcentral.
CCUACGGGAUGCAGCAGUGAGGAAUAUUGGUCAAUGGGAGAGAUCCUGAACCAGCCAAGCCGCGUGAGGGAAGACGGCCCUAUGGGUGGUAAACCUCUUUUGUCGGAGAACAAAACCCGGGACGUGUCCAGGACUGCGUGUAUCCGAAGAAAAAGCAUCGGCUAACUCCGUGCCAGCAGCCGCGGUAAUACGGAGGAUGCGAGCGUUAUCUGGAUUUAUUGUGUUUAAAGGGUGCGUAGGCGGUACGUUAAGUCAGCGGAAAAAGUGCGGGGCACAACCCCGUCGAGCCGUUGAAACUGGCAGACUUGAGUUGGCGAGAAGUACGCGGAAUGCGCGGUGUAGCGGUGAAAUGCAUAGAUAGCGCGCAGAACUCCGAUUGCGAAGGCAGCGUACCGGCGCCAGACUGACGCUGAGGCACGGAAGCGUGGGGAUCGAACAGGAUUAGAUACCCGAGUAGUC